CACGCUGUAAACGAUGAAUACUAGUCAUUGGUCUUUUAGGUCAGUGACGAAGCUAACGCGAUAAGUAUUCCGCCUGGGAAGUACGGUCGCAAGACUAAAACUCAAAGGAAUUGACGGGGGCCCGCACAAGCGGUGGAUUAUGUGGUUUAAUUCGAAGGUACACGCAGAACCUUACCUAGGUUUGAAAUCCUUCUAAGUCGGGGUAAUGCCUGAUGUGCCCGCAAGGGAAAGAAGUGACAGGUGC
Molecule: ribosomal RNA, 244 nt
Filed under: uncultured bacterium
Lineage: Bacteria
Description: partial 16S ribosomal RNA
Rfam family: Bacterial small subunit ribosomal RNA
Source: RNAcentral